This 583-nucleotide ribosomal RNA is filed under the name Fuligo cinerea. RNAcentral's name for it is "SSU rRNA". It matches the Rfam family "Eukaryotic small subunit ribosomal RNA", at positions 28 to 536 of the family's 1831-position model. Lineage: Eukaryota; Evosea; Eumycetozoa; Physariida; Physaraceae. The record is from RNAcentral.
AUGCUUCUCCUAAAGACUAAGCCAUGCAUGCCUCGAAUAGAAAGAGCAUCCUCUCUGAAUCUGCGAACGGCUCCGCAAACCAGUUGUAAACCAUAGCAAGCAGGCCCGUGGGGACCGUCUUGGGCCGCAAGGCUCGGGGCACCCCGUGGACCAUAGGGAUAUCCGUGGUAAUUCUAAGGCUAAUACAUGAACGUACGCCCUGGCCGACGGGCAACCGGAGGCUGGGGACCGUGCGGUCAAUACCAAGGAUUCCCUCUGGGAAUAGUCGCACGGCCAGACCCCCAUACCAAACAGUCCCCGAUGACCGAUCCCGCGAGGGUGAGGGAGCUGGGCGUCUGGGGGGCUCUUGGACGGUGCUUCUGACCUAUCAACUAGAUGGCAGCGUAACGGACAUGCUAUGGUAACAACGGGUACAGAGGAUAAGGGUUCGAUCCUGGAGAGUGGGCCUGAGAGAUUGCUCAUACUUCUAAGGAAGGCAGCAGGCGCGCAACGUUCCCAUUGGGCAUUGCCCGAGGGCGUUAGGGGACAUAUGAAUGCCUGCCUUCGGGUGGGCAAUUCAAAUGGGUCUGUUUUAAACAGCCUC